This 494-nucleotide ribosomal RNA is filed under the name uncultured bacterium. Its description in RNAcentral is "partial 16S ribosomal RNA". It matches the Rfam family "Bacterial small subunit ribosomal RNA", at positions 28 to 507 of the family's 1533-position model. The record is from RNAcentral.
GACGAACGCUGGCGGCGUGCUUAACACAUGCAAGUCGAACGGUGAAGCGCCUUCCUUUUUGGUGGGUGUGGAUGAGUGGCGAACGGGUGAGUAACACGUUAGUAACCUGCCCCCUUCUUCUGGAUAACCGCAUGAAAGUGUGGCUAAUACGGGAUAUUCUGGGUCUGUCGCAUGAUGGGUCUGGGAAAGCUAUUGUUUCGGUGGGGGAUGGGAUCGCGGCCUAUCAGCUUGUUGGUGGGGUGAUGGCCUACCAAGGCGGUGAGGGGUAGCCGGCCUGAGAGGGUGGACGGUAACAGUGGGGCGGAGACACGGCGCAGACUCCUACGGGCGGCAGUGGCGGGGAAUAUUGAACAAUGGGAGGAAGGCUGAUGCAGCGACGCGGCGGGAGGGAUGGAGGCCGUCGGGUUGUGAACCUCUGUCGGGAGAGAAGCAGGGCUGCCUCGUUUGUGGGUGGGUUGACGGUAGCUGGAUAAGAAGCGCCGGCUAACUACGUG